GGUGAACGCUAGCUACAGGCUUAACACAUGCAAGUCGAGGGGUAACGAGAGGAAAGCUUGCUUUCCUUGUCGACGACCGGCGCACGGGUGAGUAACGCGUAUCCAACCUGCCCCCAACUAGGGAAUAACCUUGCGAAAGUAAGACUAAUACCCCAUAAUUUCCUCAGAUGCCAUCUGACGAGGAAUAAAGAUUUAUCGGUUGUGGAUGGGGAUGCGUCUGAUUAGCUUGUUGGCGGGGUAACGGCCCACCAAGGCAACGAUCAGUAGGGGUUCUGAGAGGAAGGUCCCCCACAUUGGAACUGAGACACGGUCCAAACUCCUACGGGAGGCAGCAGUGAGGAAUAUUGGUCAAUGGGCGGAAGCCUGAACCAGCCAAGUAGCGUGCAGGAUGACGGCCCUAUGGGUUGUAAACUGCUUUUAUACAGGAAUAAAGUUAGCCACGUGUGGUUAUUUGUAGGUACUGUAUGAAUAAGGACCGGCUAAUUCCGUGCCAGCCGCCGCUGUAA
This 506-nucleotide ribosomal RNA is filed under the name uncultured bacterium. Its description in RNAcentral is "partial 16S ribosomal RNA". It matches the Rfam family "Bacterial small subunit ribosomal RNA", at positions 28 to 523 of the family's 1533-position model. The record is from RNAcentral.